UCCUCGUUAGUAUAGUGGUGAGUAUCCCCGCCUGUCACGCGGGAGACGGGGUUCGAUUCCCCGACGGGGAG
Non-coding RNA from Ciona savignyi (Pacific transparent sea squirt), 71 nucleotides. NCBI's taxonomy places the organism in Eukaryota, Metazoa, Chordata, Ascidiacea, Phlebobranchia, Cionidae. The record is from Rfam.